UUUCCGUAGGUGAACCUGCGGAAGGAUCAUUCAUCGAGCGAGUGGGCCCGUCCCCUCCCUCCAUCCCGUGCGUACCCUCCAGUCUCUGCCUCGGCCGGCCCCCCCGCCCCGGCGGGCCGCCCGCCGAGGCCCAACCAAAACCUCGUUGUCAAACGUUGACGUCUGAGUGAAAAUACAAACGAAAUAAAACUUUCAACAAUGGAUCUCUUGGCUCCGGCAUCGAUGAAGAACGCAGC
This 236-nucleotide unclassified non-coding RNA is filed under the name uncultured fungus. RNAcentral describes it as "sequence contains ITS1, 5.8S rRNA gene". The stretch from base 188 to 236 matches the Rfam family "5.8S ribosomal RNA", at positions 1 to 49 of the family's 154-position model. The record is from RNAcentral. Lineage: Eukaryota; Fungi.